Molecule: non-coding RNA, 680 nt
Filed under: Amblyomma gervaisi
Lineage: Eukaryota; Metazoa; Arthropoda; Arachnida; Ixodida; Ixodidae
Source: RNAcentral
GUAAAAGACAAAUAAAUUUUUUAUGUUUUUUUUAAAAAAUAAAUUAACAGAAAAUUUAAUUUAUUUAAUAAUAAAAUAUUAUUGAAAUUUAUAAAAUCAAUUAGCUAAGUUUGUGCCAGCAGCAGCGGUUAAACAAACAAUUUCUUACUUAAAAAUAAUAACAUUUAAAUUAAUUUUUGUAAAUAUUUUUUUAUAAAAAAGGUGAAAUUUUUUAAAAAAGAAACAAUUAAUUAAAAAAGUAAUUCAAUUUUAAACUAGGAUUAGAUACCCUAUUAUUAAGAACUUUAUAUUGUUAGUAUAUAAAGUGAUGAAAACAAAAAAUUAUGGCGGUACUUUAAACUUGUCAGAGGAAUUUGCUCUUUUAUGGAUAAAACACCUUAAUCUUACUAAAAUUAGUUAUGUCAAUUUGUAUACCACUAUUAAAUUAAUAAUAAUUAAUAAUUAUUAUUUAAAUAUUUAGAAAAAAAAAUAAAUUAAGUCAUGGUGCAAUAGAAAUUUUAGGAUGAAGUGAAUUACAUUUUUUUUAAAAUAUUUAAAUAAUGAAAAAUAAAAAUAGGAUUUGAAAAUAAAAAUAUAAUAUAAUGAUAUUUUGAAUUAAGUUCUAAAGUAUGUACAUAUCGCCCGUCGCUCUUUACUUUAAAGAUAAGUCGUAACAAAGUUAAAGUACUGGAAAGUGCUUU